Molecule: ribosomal RNA, 253 nt
Filed under: uncultured bacterium
Lineage: Bacteria
Description: partial 16S ribosomal RNA
Rfam family: Bacterial small subunit ribosomal RNA
Source: RNAcentral
UACGUAGGGUGCAAGCGUUGUCCGGAAUUAUUGGGCGUAAAGAGCUCGUAGGCGGUCUGUCGCGUCGAAUGUGAAAACCCGGGGCUCAACCCCGGGCCUGCAUUCGAUACGGGCAGACUAGAGUUCGGUAGGGGAGUCUGGAAUUCCUGGUGUAGCGGUGAAAUGCGCAGAUAUCAGGAGGAACACCGGUGGCGAAGGCGGGUCUCUGGGCCGAUACUGACGCUAAGGCGCGAAAGCGUGGGGAGCGAACAGG